Molecule: ribosomal RNA, 562 nt
Filed under: uncultured fungus
Lineage: Eukaryota; Fungi
Description: eukaryotic LSU rRNA
Rfam family: 5.8S ribosomal RNA (bases 185-326)
Source: RNAcentral
CCGUAGGUGAACCUGCGGAAGGAUCAUUCAUAAUAAGUGUUUUAUGGCACUUUUUAAAUCCAUAUCCACCUUGUGUGCAAUGUUUGUUGGGAGAGAGGCAACUCUUUCCCUUCACAAAUAUCAACCUAUAUCUUUAACAACAUUCGUCUGAUAACAUAUUAUGAAUAUACUUAAUUCAAAAUAUAACUUUCAACAACGGAUCUCUUGGUUGAAGAACGUAGCAAAGUGCGAUAACUAGUGUGAAUUGCAUAUUCAGUGAAUCAUCGAGUCUUUGAACGCAACUUGCGCUCAAUGGUAUUCCAUUGAGCACGCCUGUUUCAGUAUCAAAAACACCCCACAUUCAUAAUUUUAUUGUGAAUGGGAUUGAGAAUUUCGACUUGUUUGAAUUCUUUAAACCUAUUAGGCCUGAACUAUUGUUCUUUCUGCCUGAACAUUUUUUUAAUAUAAAGGAAUGCUCUAGUAUUAAGACUAUCUCUGGGGCCUCCCAAAUAAAACUUUCUUAAAUUUGAUCUGAAAUCAGGCGGGAUUACCCGCUGAACUUAAGCAUAUCAAUAAGCGGAGG